RNAcentral lists this ribosomal RNA (497 nucleotides) under uncultured bacterium. RNAcentral describes it as "partial 16S ribosomal RNA". It matches the Rfam family "Bacterial small subunit ribosomal RNA", at positions 28 to 507 of the family's 1533-position model. The record is from RNAcentral.
GAUGAACGCUGGCGGCGUGCCUAAUACAUGCAAGUCGAGCGAACAGAUGAGGAGCUUGCUCCUCUGACGUUAGCGGCGGACGGGUGAGUAACACGUGGAUAACCUACCUAUAAGACUGGGAUAACUUCGGGAAACCGGAGCUAAUACCGGAUAAUAUAUUGAACCGCAUGGUUCAAUAGUGAAAGACGGUUUUGCUGUCACUUAUAGAUGGAUCCGCGCCGCAUUAGCUAGUUGGUAAGGUAACGGCUUACCAAGGCAACGAUGCGUAGCCGACCUGAGAGGGUGCUCGGCCACACUGGAACUGACACACGGUCCAGACUCCUACGGGAGGCAGCAGUAGGGAAUCUUCCGCAAUGGGCGAAAGCCUGACGGAGCAACGCCGCGUGCGUGAUGAAGGUCUUCGGAUCGUAAAACUCUGUUAUUAGGGAAGAACAAAUGUGUAAGUAACUAUGCACGUCUUGACGGUACCUAAUCAGAAAGCCACGGCUAACUACGUG